Molecule: ribosomal RNA, 514 nt
Filed under: uncultured bacterium
Lineage: Bacteria
Description: partial 16S ribosomal RNA
Rfam family: Bacterial small subunit ribosomal RNA
Source: RNAcentral
GAUGAACGCUGGCGGCGUGCCUAAUACAUGCAAGUCGAGCGAACAGAUGAGAAGCUUGCUUCUCUGAUGUUAGCGGCGGACGGGUGAGUAACACGUGGGUAACCUACCUAUAAGACUGGGAUAACUCCGGGAAACCGGGGCUAAUACCGGAUAAUAUUCUGAACCGCAUGGUUCAAUAGUGAAAGACGGUUUCGGCUGUCACUUAUAGAUGGACCCGCGCCGUAUUAGCCAGUUGGUAAGGUAACGGCUUACCAAGGCGACGAUACGUAGCCGAGCUGAGAGGGUGAUCGGCCACACUGGAACUGAGACACGGUCCAGACUCCUACGGGAGGCAGCAGUAGGGAAUCUACCGCAAUGGGCGAAAGCCUGACGGAGCAACGCCGCGUGAGUGAUGAAGGUCUUCGGAUCGUAAAACUCUGUUGUUAGGGAAGAACAAAUUUGUUAGUAACUGAACAAGUCUUGACGGUACCUAACCAGAAAGCCACGGCUAACUACGUGCCAGCCGCCGCUGUAA